Molecule: non-coding RNA, 103 nt
Organism: Mycena latifolia
Lineage: Eukaryota; Fungi; Basidiomycota; Agaricomycetes; Agaricales; Mycenaceae
Source: the annotation of a GenBank genome assembly
GACCCAGUGGAGAAGUGGUCUCGCAUCUGCUCAGCUUGUAAUAGUCUGCAUUUGGUCUGCAUAAUUUCUGCAGAAGAUACCCGUUCGAUUCGGGUCUGGGUCA